Molecule: ribosomal RNA, 461 nt
Filed under: uncultured bacterium
Lineage: Bacteria
Description: partial 16S ribosomal RNA
Rfam family: Bacterial small subunit ribosomal RNA
Source: RNAcentral
GACGAACGCUGGCGGCGUGCUUAACACAUGCAAGUCGAGCGGAAAGGCCCUUCGGGGUACUCGAGCGGCGAACGGGUGCGUAACACGUGAGUAACCUGCCCCAGACUUUGGGAUAACCCUCGGAAACGGGGGCUAAUACCGGAUACGACACAGCUUCGCAUGGGGUCUGUGUGGAAAGUUUUUCGGUUUGAGAUGGGCUCGCGGCCUAUCAGCUUGUUGGUGGGGUGAUGGCCUACCAAGGCGACGACGGGUAGCCGGCCUGAGAGGGCGACCGGCCACACUGGGACUGAGACACGGCCCAGACUCCUACGGGAGGCAGCAGUGGGGAAUAUUGCACAAUGGGCGGAAGCCUGAUGCAGCGACGCCGCGUGAGGGAUGACGGCCUUCGGGUUGUAAACCUCUUUCAGCAGGGACGAAGCGUAAGUGACGGUACCUGCAGAAGAAGCGCCGGCCAACUACGU